AACGAACGCUGGCGGCAUGCCUAACACAUGCAAGUCGAACGAGACCUUCGGGUCUAGUGGCGCACGGGUGCGUAACGCGUGGGAAUCUGCCCUUGGGUUCGGAAUAACAGUUAGAAAUGACUGCUAAUACCGGAUAAUGUCUUCGGACCAAAGAUUUAUCGCCCAGGGAUGAGCCCGCGUAGGAUUAGCUAGUUGGUGAGGUAAAGGCUCACCAAGGCGACGAUCCUUAGCUGGUCUGAGAGGAUGAUCAGCCACACUGGACUGAGACACGGCCCAGACUCCUACGGGAGCAGCAGUGGGGAAUA
Molecule: ribosomal RNA, 305 nt
Filed under: uncultured bacterium
Lineage: Bacteria
Description: bacterial SSU rRNA
Rfam family: Bacterial small subunit ribosomal RNA
Source: RNAcentral